ACGGAAGGCAGCAGUGGGGAAUAUUGGACAAUGGGGGAAACCCUGAUCCAGCGACGCCGCGUGAGUGAAGAAGUAUUUCGGUAUGUAAAGCUCUAUCAGCAAGGAAGAAAAUGACGGUACUUGACUAAGAAGCUCCGGCUAAAUACGUGCCAGCAGCCGCGGUAAUACGUAUGGAGCAAGCGUUAUCCGGAUUUACUGGGUGUAAAGGGUGCGUAGACGGUAAAGCAAGUCUGAAGUGAAAUCCCGGGGCUCAACCCCGGAACUGCUUUGGAAACUGUUUAACUAGAGUGCAGGAGAGGUAAGCGGAAUUCCUAGUGUAGCGGUGAAAUGCGUAGAUAUUAGGAGGAACACCAGUGGCGAAGGCGGCUUACUGGACUGUAACUGACGUUGAGGCUCGAAAGCGUGGGGAGCAAACAGGAUUAGAUACCCUGGUA
RNAcentral lists this ribosomal RNA (434 nucleotides) under uncultured Lachnospiraceae bacterium. Its description in RNAcentral is "partial 16S ribosomal RNA". It matches the Rfam family "Bacterial small subunit ribosomal RNA", at positions 341 to 792 of the family's 1533-position model. Lineage: Bacteria; Bacillati; Bacillota; Clostridia; Lachnospirales; Lachnospiraceae. The record is from RNAcentral.